UAAGGAAUAUUGGUCAAUGGAGGCAACUCUGAACCAGCCAUGCCGCGUGCAGGAAGAAGGCCCUAUGGGUCGUAAACUGCUUUUGAACAAGAGAAAACCCCGGUACGUGUACUGGGUUGAUAGUAUUGUUAGAAUAAGCAUCGGCUAACUUCGUGCCAGCAGCCGCGGUAAGACGAAGGAUGCAAGCGUUAUCCGGAUUCAUUGGGUUUAAAGGGUGCGUAGGCGGACUGAUAAGUCAGUGGUGAAAUCUCUCGGCUUAACUGAGAAACUGCCAUUGAUACUGUUAGUCUAGAGUACAGAUGAUGUGGGCGGAAUAUGACAUGUAGUGGUGAAAUACUUAGAUAUGUCAUAGAACACCGAUUGCGAAGGCAGCUCACAAAACUGUAACUGACGCUGAGGCACGAAAGUGCGGGGAUCAAACAGGAUUAGAUACCCCCGUAGUCCCUGAGCGGGCUGGCAAGGCGCAU
RNAcentral lists this ribosomal RNA (467 nucleotides) under uncultured bacterium. RNAcentral's name for it is "bacterial SSU rRNA". It matches the Rfam family "Bacterial small subunit ribosomal RNA", at positions 355 to 825 of the family's 1533-position model. The record is from RNAcentral.